Atopostipes suicloacalis DSM 15692 is the source of this 98-nucleotide non-coding RNA. The record is from Rfam. Lineage: Bacteria; Bacillati; Bacillota; Bacilli; Lactobacillales; Carnobacteriaceae.
AUAAUGAUACUCCCGUAUAGCCACAGUCCGAGCGUUAAAAGCGUCGCAGGCAAUGGGUGCGGCUACAUGAGAACCAUGCAGGGGUAAAAUUCCCGUGA